UACGUAGGGGGCUAGCGUUGCUCGGAAUCACUGGGCGUAAAGCGCACGUAGGCGGAUUUUUAAGUCAGGGGUGAAAUCCUGGAGCUCAACUCCAGAACUGCCUUUGAUACUGGGAAUCUCGAGUCCGGAAGAGGUGAGUGGAACUGCGAGUGUAGAGGUGAAAUUCGUAGAUAUUCGCAAGAACACCAGUGGCGAAGGCGGCUCACUGGUCCGGUACUGACGCUGAGGUGCGAAAGCGUGGGGAGCAAACAGG
This 253-nucleotide ribosomal RNA is filed under the name uncultured bacterium. RNAcentral describes it as "partial 16S ribosomal RNA". It matches the Rfam family "Bacterial small subunit ribosomal RNA", at positions 524 to 776 of the family's 1533-position model. The record is from RNAcentral.